RNAcentral lists this ribosomal RNA (497 nucleotides) under uncultured bacterium. RNAcentral describes it as "partial 16S ribosomal RNA". It matches the Rfam family "Bacterial small subunit ribosomal RNA", at positions 28 to 507 of the family's 1533-position model. The record is from RNAcentral.
GACGAACGCUGGCGGCGUGCCUAAUACAUGCAAGUUGAGCGAUGAAGAUUGGUGCUUGCACCAAUUUGAAGAGCAGCGAACGGGUGAGUAACGCGUGGGGAACCUGCCUUUGAGCGGGGGACAACAUUUGGAAACGAAUGCUAAUACCGCAUAACAACUUUAAACAUAAGUUUUAAGUUUGAAAGAUGCAAUUGCAUCACUCAAAGAUGAUCCCGCGUUGUAUUAGCUAGGUGGUGAGGUAAAGGCUCACCAAGGCGAUGAUACAUAGCCGACCUGAGAGGGUGGUCGGCCCAAUUGGGACUGAGACACGGCCCAAACUCCUACGGGAGGCAGCAGGAGGGAAUCUUCGGCAAUGGAAGAAAGGCUGACCGAGCCACGCCGCGGGAGUGAAGAAGGUUUUCGGAUCGUAAAACUCUGUUGGUAGAGAAGAACGUUGGUGAGAGUGGAAAGCUCAUCAAGUGACGGUAACUACACAGAAAGGGACGGCUAACUACGUG